This 1245-nucleotide long non-coding RNA is filed under the name Triticum aestivum (bread wheat). Its description in RNAcentral is "long non-coding RNA (TAES_LNC005044)". Lineage: Eukaryota; Viridiplantae; Streptophyta; Magnoliopsida; Poales; Poaceae. The record is from RNAcentral.
UCCGGGUAGGCGAGCGGCUCAUCGAUGACCUCCGGUUCCGGUGGUGGAGUGGCCGGCGGUGGAGGGCACGACCCGUACCCGUGCACGGGGCAGAAAUCGCGGGCAGGGCAAGGGCCGUAUCCGUGCACCGGACAGAAGGCCACGCCUGCAUCCAUGCCAUUGCCGAAGAAGACCCCCGGCGGUGGCGGGGCCUGGGCAGCGUCGAAGAACUCCUCCUUGCCCAGGAACGAGGCUGCAGCCUUGGCGGGAGCCCAGUCCAUUGGCGGAGCGACGAAGGCCGGCAUCGGGGGUGCCUGGUAGGCGUGGUGGACGACGGCAGAUGGGUUGCUUGGUCCUGCCUGCUCUGCGGCGGCGGGGCCAGGAUGAUCCUGACGACCACGGCGACCACGGCGGCCAUUGCCUGGGCCCCAAUGGCGAGGAGCACCAGCACUGUGGCGUCUGGCAGAUGGACGGAUCUCCCAUCCAAUGAAUCGAACAAGGGCAGAGGCGAUUCUAUGCAGGUUCAUCCCUGCCAUCUUACCUUCUCGUCUCUUCUUGUUCGUGCUUUGUUGGUCGAGGCUAGCGUGGCUGAUAACGUAUAAAGAUUUGAUGGAAAACUUGUGUUCUAUUGAUUCUGGGCAAAGCCCUAUUUAUACAAGGAUUUGGGGCGCCUCCGGAGAGGCGUCCGUUUACAACGGGCGCCCGUGGCGCGAGAAGACGCCCGUACGGACGUUCGCAUCCAUACGGCGCUUUAGACACACGUGACGACUCUUAGCGACUUUGCUUUAUUCUUAACAUGGAUGUAAUUUUUUACUUCUUGUGUUCUUUGUACUAACUUGACAGUUGAUGAAUAGAUAGGAAGUUUUCUUGCAAAAAAACACAUGUUACCUAAGUAAAAGAUAAAAGUUUACUAAUGAGUAUCUAGAGGGUUUUCUUUUUACCAUGCUGGUAUAUAGUAGGCAGGGCCACUGCUCCGUGAUCGAGAAGAGGAGAGCCUCAAAUACUAUGUUACAAUGGUAAUCCAAGUACUAUUAUACAUUAUGUCCAAAAGAUUAUUAAAUAUGUGAAAAAAAUCUUAGUUAGCAGAGAAGUCUAUAGCACAGACCAAUAUCGUGUAUUGCCUGUCUCCCAUCGAUAAAUAUCAUACAUGUUGUACUAGAUCCUACUAAAUAGAUUUUAUAUAUAAUUUUGUGAACAAUGUUUUAUCCUAGAAACUAGCAGGAGCUCUUGUAUACACCGGAUGAAACCAAUAUUGUUCCAGAUGAG